AAGAGCCAAUCCGCCAGAAAACCAUGCAAUAUUCAGAAAAUCGUCCAAAUCGACAAUCACAACUUGACAAAUUUUUAUACAUCAUCUUAAUCCUUGACAUAAAAUAAAAGAAUUUGACCACUUAAUUUUUCCCAGAAUCGUAUCUAUUUUUAGUAACAGCCUCAUUUGCAUAAUUCUGUAAAUUCAUAAUGAAACCAAGGAAAAAUCCAACUUUUUUAUGCCUUUUAAGAAUGACCCAGAAGCAUAUUAAAUGGGGUAGUUGAGUUUUUAGAGUAAUGUCAGCUGAAACUCAUCCAUUUUACUAUGUUAUGAUCAAUACAAAUGAAAAUUUAAACGAUUUGGCACAUUGCCAGGAGCAGGGACACAAAGGCGGGGUUUUUCAUACAUGAAUUUACGUGGUUUUCAUUCGCUUCUAUCUUGCAAGACCCAUUCCGGAUUUGUUUGCAACUUAUAUCGGUUUUAACUAUGGGGUAUGUUUUAUAUCAAAACAAAAUAUUAAGCUUGGCAAAUGACUAUUAUAUGUUAAUUUAUGCCUUGGAAGAAUGGUGAUUUUAGUCCCAAAUUGACACAUUUUGAUUUUGAUUUUAAUUAAAUUCUAAACACAAUUGGUACUAAAAUGGCUCAUAAAAUCAUUCGAACAAGUAAAAUCAAUUUGUCUGAAAAAUGAAAUAAGACGUAUUUGUACUGCAAGUCCAAAAAUCAAUAAAUUGUCUGAAACCAGGGAGUCCAUCUUUUAUGCUCUUCCAUUGACUUAUCUCCCUUGGGUAAGAUCUCAAACAUGUCAGCUCCCAGUGUAGUUUGGCAGACAAAUGCUUACAGUGAAGUUUGUGACUUUAAUAAUCUAGGAUGAGCAUGUGGGCUAUCCCAGCCUUAUACAUCUACAUAUUACAAACUAUUUAAGAUAUCUGAAUGCACUAAAGACCAAAAUAGCAUUUCCAAAAAAAAUAAUUACUGCCAAGAAAUUUGACAAUCAUGACAAUAAUUUAGUGAAUAAACAUGAUAAAUAUUGAUUGGAAAAAUAAGUCCAUGAACAGCAAAAAGUGUUUUUAGAUUUCAACGAGCAAAACAAAAGUAUUCUAAAUCAUUCUUCGUAAAAAAAAAAGUGAGCCAGUGGAACCACCUUGCUCGCACCAAAAUUGAGAUUGAGAGUGUCAAAACUGCUCUGGCGCACCAUCAAUAAAUCAACGACACUCUCUCUACGGUAGACUCUACCGUGGUAUUGAAACCAGCAUUGGUAACCAAACAUAUUCAUACAGAUACAGACUACCAUUCAUCUACAUUUAGGAAGUCUGAAUAAUACUGAAAACUUAAUGGUGUAGAAUUUCCAACAGGACUCCUUAUUUUAUAUAAGACAAGGAGUGGUUUAUUUUCCCAUGGUUGUUACAUCAUCUUGUCUUUGAAUAUGCUCGAAGUACAGGGACUUUUAUGGAAUUCAUUGACAUGAUAGUCAAGCAAGAUGUCAACAUCUCGUCCAACCCUCUUCCAGCAAAGCCAAAGCUGACCAAGGAUCUUCACCCUUUCAAAACAGGCUGUAUACAGGACGAGUUAUUCCAGUAGGAACAGGGCUAUAUAUAUGCAAGCAAUGCUCAAUUAAGAUGAAUUUUUGUAAAAGUGACAAUAGCCUGGUCAAACUAAAUACAUGUAUAGAAGAAGAUAUUGAUCUAGACUCGCAGCUAACCUUUCUGUCAGUGUCAACAACAACUGAUCUUUCACAGCAGUCAACAUCAGAUUGGGAGACUGAUAAUGCUUCUAACAGAAACAAUUUCAACCAACCAAACAAGCAACAGAAACUUUUCAACUUUAAAACAUCAGUUAAAUCUUCCAUGGGAUGAUGUCUCAAAAAAUAACAGUUCAUCAUUUAUGGAGAUUUUAAUGUUAUGGUUUUUCUUUUACAAGAAAGUUAAUGUACACUUGUUUUAUAGUAAAACCUAUAGCUGUUCAAGUAUAAAAAAACACAUUCAACUUUAUUGAAAUUGGAAGAUUCAUAUGACUUAUUUUAAUUCUGUUAUCUCCGAGGAUGUGAUGUAGAGCAUUAUAGGUACAGUAAUCUUAACAGCUAUCCAAUUUCAUUCAAAAUUCUUUAUAAAUUUUGCACUGGUAUAUAUAGAAUAAGUAAUUUGUUUUUCAUCUAGUUAUGGGAUUUUUUUAUACCCCACGCAACGAGUUGUGGAGGGUAUAAUGUUUUUGACCCGUCUGUCCGUCCAUCCGUCAGUCCGUCAGUCCUGUUUCUUGUCAUCGCAACUCCUCUCAAACCACACAACAGAAUUUCACGAAACCUUUUUAGAUAAUAAGGACAUACUAUGUAGUUGUGCAUAUAGACAGGAAAUUACUAUUCAAUUCUUUUUCUAGGAGUUACGCCCCUUUGAACUUAUUUACUUUAAUGUACUACUGCAACAGUUUGUCAUCGCAACUCCUCUCAAACCACAUAACAGAAUUUCAUGAAACCUUUUCAGAUAAUAAGGACAUACUACGUAGAUGUGCAUAUCGACAGGAAAUUACGAUUUAAUUUUUUUACCAGGAGUUACGCCCCUUUGAACUUAUUUGCCCAAUAUACUACUGCAACCUUUUGUCAUCGCAACUCCUCUCAAACCACACAACAGAAUUUCAUGAAACCUUUUCAGAUAAUAAGGACAUACUACGUAGAUGUGCAUAUCGACAGGAAAUUACGAUUCAAUUGUUUUUCCAGGAGUUACGCCCCUUUGAACUUAUUUGCCCAAUAUACUAAGGCAACCUUUUGUCAUCGCAACUCCUCUCAAACCACACAACAGAAUUUCAUGAAACCUUUUCAGGUAAUAAGGACAUACUACGUUGAUGUGCAUAACGACAGGAAAUUACGAUUCAAUUUUUUUUCCAGGAAUUACGCCCCUUUGAACUUAUUUGCCCAAUAUACUACUGCAACCUUUUGUCAUCGCAACUCCUCUCAAACCACACAACAGAAUUUCAUGAAACUGUGUAGAUAAUAAGGACAUACUACGUCGAUGUGCAUAUUGACAGGAAAUUAUGAUUCAAUUUUUUUUUCUUACACUUAUUUUAUUUCUCCAAUGACAAUGUUGGGACGUGGGGUAUGUGAGCGCGCUCACUAAGGUUCUUUCAUUUUAGAAGCAUUCAUGAUUUUCAUGUUUGUAUUGACCACAUUGCAGCAACAUAGAUAUAGGUACCUGGCAAAUCUUGCCUUGUUAGCAUACUAGGCUCAAAGGGUCAUAAAAAAAUUUCCAUCACUAACUGUCUGUUAAAAUCAUCUGUUUACAGUUUUCACUUUUAAACCAUCAUCUUAAUAACUUUAGAAGAAGUGUCAUACAUAUAUAUAUAUGUAUACAAAAUUUAAAAACUUUUCAAUAUAUAUAUACAUAUAUAUAUUGAUAAUAACUAUCAACAUGACAAGAUCUAAAUACCCAAAAUUUUUCUGAAAAAUUGGACAUAACAUCUAUGAGCUAUUGUCCCUGAAAUGUGUAAAUUUACAAAUUUUCACAGUUUUCAGCUACUAUCUGACAACUAUAUCAAUAUAUUAUAAGAAUAAAUUGCAAAAGUGGUCAGAAGAAACUUUUUUUUUACAGUCUAAACUUAUUCUGAAUUGUUUAACUUCUAAUUUAAAUUGAUUGCGUUUGAAAUAUGUGUUUUUUAUCGUUUUAGGUGCAUAAUUUGUCAAUACGAUCUAUUUCAGCUCCUGGGAGCCUCUAGAUUUAUAAUGAAUAAUUUGUAUUUAUGUAUGAUUAUUUUCUUAAUGUAUUAAAUGAAACAUUAAUUAUUCUU
Mytilus californianus (California mussel) is the source of this 3750-nucleotide long non-coding RNA. RefSeq lists it as uncharacterized. The record is from RefSeq and is a predicted model, not a curated record. NCBI's taxonomy places the organism in Eukaryota, Metazoa, Mollusca, Bivalvia, Mytilida, Mytilidae. The transcript has 3 exons.